This 433-nucleotide ribosomal RNA is filed under the name uncultured bacterium. RNAcentral describes it as "partial 16S ribosomal RNA". It matches the Rfam family "Bacterial small subunit ribosomal RNA", at positions 29 to 507 of the family's 1533-position model. The record is from RNAcentral.
AACGAACGCUGGCGGCAUGCCUAACACAUGCAAGUCGAACGAACCCUUCGGGGUUAGUGGCGCACGGGUGCGUAACGCGUGGGAAUCUGCCCUUUGCUUCGGAAUAACUCAGGGAAACUUGUGCUAAUACCGGAUGAUGUCUUCGGACCAAAGAUUUAUCGGCAAGGGAUGAGCCCGCGUAGGAUUAGGUAGUUGGUGGGGUAAAGGCCUACCAAGCCGACGAUCCUUAGCUGGUCUGAGAGGAUGAUCAGCCACACUGGGACUGAGACACGGCCCAGACUCCUACGGGAGGCAGCAGUGGGGAAUAUUGGACAAUGGGCGCAAGCCUGAUCCAGCAAUGCCGCGUGAGUGAUGAAGGCCCUCGGGUCGUAAAGCUCUUUUACCAGGGAUGAUAAUGACGGUACCUGGAGAAUAAGCUCCGGCUAACUCCGUG